Long non-coding RNA from Triticum dicoccoides, 1198 nucleotides. RefSeq lists it as uncharacterized. The record is from RefSeq and is a predicted model, not a curated record. NCBI's taxonomy places the organism in Eukaryota, Viridiplantae, Streptophyta, Magnoliopsida, Poales, Poaceae. The transcript has 6 exons.
CUCUCGCGACCCACACACCCUAACCCUAACCCGACUGCGCCGCCGCGCCCGACAUGGGCGCCGCCGCGCCGCCGCCCCAACCCACCAACCGGUCCCCUUGCGCCACCACAUCUCGGACCGCGGCCUCCCUUCCCUUAGUCCGCAGUAGCAGCAGUGUCGUCUAGGACGGAGGAGCACUGUCCGCCGCCGAGGAGCAGCAGCGCGGUCCGCAAACAAGGAUCCGCUGCGCGCCGGGAACAUCAGCAUCAUACGCCGGAGGAUCCUCUGCACCGACUACUGUUGAGGAGGAGCCCGCUGUUCUUCUUCCUUCAGCGGCGACCCCUGUCACGGCCCCGCCUCCAGAUUUCAACAAGUAAGAUGCAGGAGGUUCCACGUCUAGGAAAUGGCAUUAUUGGUGUGGUGUUGUUCUGUUUUCUCAAUGAAUAUGAGUCGCUCGAUGGAUGGGAAUUGCUACUGUGUUUGUUAUUGCUUCCAUACUAGUUUUGUUCAGUUGGUCAAGGUGGUGCUCCCUCUGCAGUACAGAACAAUACCAGUGGAGAUGCGUGGAGUACGCUAUGCCAUCCUGUGACCACAACCAUUGGCUGCUACUGACGACGUGAGAUCACAAGUUUAAUGUUCGAGUAUUGAAUCAAGAAAUCUUCCGAAUCUGUUAACAUAGCCUCCACUUACUGUAUGCUCAAGUCUCUUUGUGGCAUAUCAGAUUUUAACUUCUGUUUUAGUCUGCUCAAGUGGAGAGGUCCGUGCAAUUCAGAAAUCAAAGUCACAAAAUCAGUACUGCUGAAGAUCUUGGCUAUGACCCGCGGAGAGAUGAAAUAUUUAUCAGAGCACAUAUCCGUAAAACUGGAGUUCCUACCGCACAAGCAGAGACACUAAUUGGACAAAUGAUAGAAAGUAGCAAGUCCACUUGUUGAUUGAAGAUGUCCUCGUGAUUGUUUUUGUUGAGAACAUGGAUGAAACAUUUUGUUCAUAUGGAGCUUGAUUUGGCUUGGCGAUUGAUGAGUUAGUCUUCCAUAAUAUUCUAUAGCAGAGCAGUGAUAAAGCACUUGAUCUCUUAGGAACUUUGCCAUUCUGUUUGUAACAUGCCUAUCGGAUAUCUGACUUGUGUAUUUCCUUAAUGGUUGUAGCUAACUUUUGUGAGGUUGUGAAGAAAACUAAUGAAUCUUGUGUGUGUGUAUUGAAUGAAUGCAUUAAUCAAUGA